Molecule: ribosomal RNA, 509 nt
Filed under: uncultured Actinomycetes bacterium
Lineage: Bacteria; Bacillati; Actinomycetota; Actinomycetes
Description: bacterial SSU rRNA
Rfam family: Bacterial small subunit ribosomal RNA
Source: RNAcentral
AGAGUUUGAUCCUGGCUCAGAACGAACGUUGGCGGUGUGCCUAAUACAUGCAAGUCGCGCGAGAAAGCCGGGGCAACUCGGCGAGUACAGCGGCGGAAGGGUGCGUACUACAUGGAUAACGUACCCCGCAGUCGGGGAUAACCCUCCGAAAGGUGGGCUAAUACCGAGAAUGAAGGCAGGGGGUGGCAUCACUUCCUGCUCAAAGCCGCAAGGCGCUGCGGGAGCGGUCCAUGGCCUAUCAGCUAGUUGGCGGGGUAACGGCCCACCAAGGCGAUGACGGGUAGCCGGACUGAGAGGUUGAACGGCCACACUGGGACUGAGACACGGCCCAGACAUCUACGGAUGGCAGCAGUAGGGAAUCUUGCGCAAUGGGCGAAAGCCUGACGCAGCGACGCCGCGUGAGGGAUGACGGCCUUCGGGUUGUAAACCUCUUUCAGCCCUGACGAAGCGAGAGUGACGGUAGGGGCAGAAGAAGCACCGGCCAACUACGUGCCAGCAGCCGCGGUAAU